Gopherus evgoodei (Goodes thornscrub tortoise) is the source of this 954-nucleotide long non-coding RNA. RefSeq lists it as uncharacterized. Lineage: Eukaryota; Metazoa; Chordata; Testudines; Testudinidae. The record is from RefSeq and is a predicted model, not a curated record. The transcript has 2 exons.
CCUGUGCCACACAACACGCCACUGCUCCAUGAGAACAGGAGACAGACUAGAGCUGGCACAGCAAGAUAAGGAGGAGAAGCAAACAGAUUCCCGGGUUAUUUUCUUGAGGAUAAAUGACCGUGCUUGAUAGGUACAGUUUGAGAAGUAUCAAGACAUGAAACAGAAAGCAGCGACUUUUAACCAAUCAACACCCAAUGGGAGAGCUGGCUAGGCAUAGACGACCUCAACACCAAAGCACUGAGUCAAUAGGUAAUGCUCCGUAAUGCUUUGCUUAUAGGCUUGGCUUCAUUUGAGCUGGUCUGGAGUAUUAGGCUAUAACAGCACUUCUUUGAAACUGGUAUCUUGUUCGCCACAAUUUCAGCUUCCAUAAAAGUUAGUGCCAGUUUAGUCACAAAGCCUCAAAAAUGUGAACUGUGUGUUCCCAACUCAGCAAUAUCAGUAACUCUGUGGAAACUCUGGAACAACGGCUCUGACAGGUGUGACCUAACCAUUCAUCUCAGGAAAAUAUUGUCAAUGGAUACCUUCGUUAAAGUUGCCAUUUGAACUAAUUUCAUUGCUCCUGUAAGAACUGGGAGGAACACAGAUCUGUAGUUUACUGUGAGUGACAUCUCACUGUGCUAAAAAAAAUGGUGGCAUUUGAACUAUAUCACCACUUCUUUCCCCUUAAAUAAGAGGAACCAUGCCAAAGAAGCCCAAUGGAGCCUAGAAGCAUAUUCAAGUCCUAGCAAGGGGAAGCCAAAUAUAGUGGAGCUCAUAGAAUCUGCACAAUAAACUGUAAAAGAGCAGCUUACACAGUUUUCAGUGUUGUGCAGUUAGUGCUGCAGAAGCCAAGGAGUCUUGCCACAUGAUUUAAGACUGGAUUGCUACAGAGGACCUUGGAAAGAGGACAUGUAGGUGAGAGGUAAGACUUAAAAAAAAAACAAAAAAAAAGUUGAAAAUAUGAAUUGCCUAAUU